Molecule: transfer RNA, 77 nt
Filed under: Desulfobulbus sp.
Lineage: Bacteria; Pseudomonadati; Thermodesulfobacteriota; Desulfobulbia; Desulfobulbales; Desulfobulbaceae
Also listed under: 7 other names
Description: tRNA-Lys
Rfam family: tRNA
About the family: Transfer RNA (tRNA) molecules are approximately 80 nucleotides in length.
Source: RNAcentral
GGGCCGUUAGCUCAGUUUGGUAGAGCAGUUGACUCUUAAUCAAUUGGUCGAAGGUUCGAAUCCUUCACGGCCCACCA